CAGUAGCCGCGGUAAUACGUAGGGUGCAAGCGUUAAUCGGAAUUACUGGGCGUAAAGCGUGCGCAGGCGGUUGUGUAAGACAGGUGUGAAAUCCCCGGGCUUAACCUGGGAACUGCGCUUGUGACUGCACAGCUAGAGUAUGGCAGAGGGGGGUGGAAUUCCACGUGUAGCAGUGAAAUGCGUAGAGAUGUGGAGGAACACCGAUGGCGAAGGCAGCCCCCUGGGCCAAUACUGACGCUCAUGCACGAAAGCGUGGGGAGCAAACAGGAUUAGAUACCCCCGUAGUCCCUGUCUCUUAUAC
RNAcentral lists this ribosomal RNA (301 nucleotides) under uncultured bacterium. RNAcentral describes it as "partial 16S ribosomal RNA". It matches the Rfam family "Bacterial small subunit ribosomal RNA", at positions 509 to 807 of the family's 1533-position model. The record is from RNAcentral.